GUAGGUACAGCUCAGUGGUUCAGCACAUGCUCAGCACGCACGAGGUUCUGGGUUCAAUUCCCAGUACCUCUG
Molecule: transfer RNA, 72 nt
Filed under: Camelus dromedarius (Arabian camel)
Lineage: Eukaryota; Metazoa; Chordata; Mammalia; Artiodactyla; Camelidae
Also listed under: 1 other name
Rfam family: tRNA
About the family: Transfer RNA (tRNA) molecules are approximately 80 nucleotides in length. Their secondary structure includes four short double-helical elements and three loops (D, anti-codon, and T loops). Further hydrogen bonds mediate the characteristic L-shaped molecular structure. tRNAs have two regions of fundamental functional importance: the anti-codon, which is responsible for specific mRNA codon recognition, and the 3' end, to which the tRNAs corresponding amino acid is attached (by aminoacyl-tRNA synthetases). tRNAs cope with the degeneracy of the genetic code in two manners: having more than one tRNA (with a specific anti-codon) for a particular amino acid; and 'wobble' base-pairing, i.e. permitting non-standard base-pairing at the 3rd anti-codon position.
Source: Rfam by way of RNAcentral